RNAcentral lists this long non-coding RNA (26600 nucleotides) under Fragaria vesca (wild strawberry). Its description in RNAcentral is "long non-coding RNA (FVES_LNC000843)". The record is from RNAcentral. Lineage: Eukaryota; Viridiplantae; Streptophyta; Magnoliopsida; Rosales; Rosaceae.
AUCCGACGGCUGAAACAACAACCGCGUUUUACGAAGCAAACCCAUGAAUCCGUCAUCCUCAAAAUAAAGCCCCCCGCAGUCCCCAAACCCUCUCUCUCUAAACCCCCCAGAUUUGGAAACCCUUCUCUCUCUCUCUCUCUCUCUCUCUCUGCAACUCAUCCCCAACUCUCUCUCAGAUUCGUUACAGUAGUCUUUAGUUUCCAGAACAAAGAAAGCUUUCUCGUGUUUUGGAGGGACAGAGAUGCAAUCCAACGGCUCCGACUCCUCGCUGCAGCAACAGGAGCAAAAUACUACUCAGCCGCAGCCACGUCAGCAGCAGCCUCCUCCUCAUCCUCCGCAGUCGCAGCCGCCGCCACCGCAGUGGAUGGCGAUGCAGUACCCGGCGGCUGCAAUGGUAAUGCAGCACCAAAUGAUGCCACCGCAGCAUUACGCGCCUCCGCCGCCACACUACAUGGCGUACCACCAGUACCAGCAGCAGCCGCAGCAGCACCUCCAGCAGCAACAGCAGCCGCAGAUGGGAUCUGGCGGCGGCGGCGGCGGCGGUGGAAGCGGCGAGAACAAGACCAUCUGGGUCGGAGAUUUGCAUCACUGGAUGGACGAGAACUACCUCCAUAACUGCUUCGCUUCCGCUGGCGAGGUCUAAAUCUUCUCACUCUAUAUUUGUAUUUUGUACUUUGUAUUAUACGAAUAGGCAUACACUUUAAUGCGUCUGUGUACUGUGGAGAUGGUCUUUAUAUGAAAAGUGGAUUGUUUAUGACUGAAAUUAGUAUUUAGUGUUUUUUGGUUGGAUUAAAUGUUGGGUUUUUAAAGUUUUUGCUUAGGGUUUACUUCUGAAUAUUAUUUGUAGGGUUUGCUUCAGUUCUUUCAGUUUGUGCAUUUGGUUGAGUUUUACAAGUUAUGAUAUUUGUCUGAACUCUAUUUUGAUUAGAUGACAAAAUGUUAAAACUAGUAGCUUUAUGAGUGAAGCAGGAUAUAUAGAGAUUUUAUUGACAUAAUUGGUAAUUAAAGCCCAGUAGGAUAUGGAUGAGUCUCACCACACACUUGUAACUGAAAACUAAGUGUGGUCGGUUUUAAUCAUCAUAUGCUAUUGGAAAAUGUUGUUCAUUUUGGGGCCAGGAGUGUGUGGAUAGCAAAACAUACUGGCCCUUGUUCUUUUUGAGGCAAGAACUUUAUUGAUUUAUUUUUGGCUGUUAGAGGCAGAAUGAUGUGAAGCUAUACAUGAUAUUGCAUUUAGAUUUUGUUUUUGAAAAAAAAAAAUAUCAGCAAGAACUAAUAUUUUAAGUUUCUUACUAUAGGUUGUGUUUCUCUUAUUUGUGAAUUUUUUGUUUAAGGGAAGUGAUUAAUGCCUGAUAUUUCAGUCCAAAAGAUCAGUUAUUUUGAUGAAUGUGGUCUUAAGUCCUUUCUUGAUGAGCUAUUUAGUAUCCUCUGCUAUACUUUUCAUUGAAAUAAAUUUUAUAAUUAUGAUGUAUUGGCGUUCAAUAAGCAGGCUUGUGGAGGAUCAUGUUUUUUUUUUUUGAAGCUGCAAUUUUUUACUUGUUCUAUGUAAUUUUGAUUUUUACUUGUUCUUAUAUUAAUUAAAGGGCAAACUAGAUUUUUGUUGAAAAAAAUUUGUUGUAGUGUUCCCACUUGAACUGAGUGCUACAUAAUGCCUCCAUUUCUUUGAUAACACAAAGGUGCCCAUUUUUACUGACAUAUUUCUAAUGUUAUUGUAGAUUGCUUCCAUCAAGGUUAUUCGCAAUAAGCAGACUCUUUUAUCAGAGGGCUAUGGAUUCGUAGAGUUCUUUUCACAUGCUACAGCUGAGAAAGUCAUACAGAACUAUGCUGCAAUUUUAAUGCCUAACACAGAACAGCCCUUCCGUCUUAACUGGGCAACAUUUAGUACGGGUGACAAGCGUUCAGAUAAUGCUCCUGAUCUUUCCAUUUUUGUAGGAGACUUAGCUGCAGAUGUUACAGAUAGUUUAUUGCACGAAACGUUUUCUAGUAAAUAUCCGUCUGUUAAAGCUGCAAAAGUUGUCUUUGAUGCCAAUACUGGCCGUUCAAAGGGCUACGGUUUUGUGAGGUUUGGCGACGAGAAUGAAAGGUCACAGGCUAUGACUGAAAUGAAUGGUGUUUAUUGUUCUAGCAGGCCUAUGCGCAUUGGUGCUGCAACUCCCAGGAAAUCUUCUGGAUAUCAGCAACAAGGUAUUUAAUUCUACGUGCCUUUUCUUUUUGAAGCUAAACUUUGGAGGUAUCGGUAAGACUCUACAUGAGCCUGAAUGGCUGUGCUAUUAAUCUGUUAAGCAAAUAACUGAUAACAUUUUUUGUUAUCAAUGGUAGAAGUGCAUUGCACACGGUUAAGUUUUCUUUGUGGUAGAAGGAGCAGAUUGUCCCAUGCAUUUCACAAUUACUAAUAUUUAUCUUAGUUAAUUAUGUUUCUUUAAGCUACGUGAUUUUGGUUUUCUCUUCCGAAACAUGGUAAUUUACAUGACCAUGGUGUGAAUAUGCUAUAUUUAUUCGCUCUAGUUUUGCUUGGUUCUACAGGGGGGUAUGCUCUGAAUGGUACACCAACCCAAGGGUUCCAAUCUGAUGGAGAUGCUACAAACACAACAGUGAGUAGUCUUUGAGGUUCUCAUGGUUUUAACCAACGGUGUCUAUGAUAUUUUUCUCCACUGGCUGACUUGUGUGUCAAUGAUAGAUAUUUGUUGGAGGGCUUGAUCCCAAUGUUACUGAUGAAGAUCUCAGGCAGCCCUUCUCUCAGUAUGGUGAGAUUGUCUCUGUUAAAAUACCAGUUGGAAAAGGAUGUGGGUUUGUACAAUUUGCCAACAGGUAUUUUGUUCGUCAUACUUUGUCCAACAUUAGUGCUAUUUACUAUUUAACAAGUUAUCAUAUGACCCUUUUGGACCUCUUGCGACAGAAAUAACGCUGAGGAGGCAUUGCCGAAACUGAAUGGCUCAGUAAUUGGCAAGCAAACAGUCCGGCUUUCAUGGGGUCGCAAUCCAGCAAAUAAGCAGGCAUUUUCUCUUUCUUACUAACCCUACUCUCCCAAUACCCCCGCCACCAUUGUGCUGGUUCUGGGAGUGGUCUGUGCUUCACCUGGAACAAGGCUUGUUAUUUGUUUUAGAUUAAGUGACUGUUAAGCAGAACAAUUGUUCUUUAUAUGUGGUUUUUUGGAGUGACAUUGACAAGUAGGAUUUUGUUGUUGUUUGGUUAGAACUUGGAUUACAUUACGUUCCAGUAUGUAUGCCAUCAAUUUCAUCACUCAUUUCUCUAUAUUCCUUUUUUCUGAUUUUACAGCAGUUUAGAAUGGAUUUCGGCAACCAGUGGGCAGGAGCGGCUUACUAUGGAGGACCUGUUUAUGAUGGUUAUGGUUAUGCUCUGCCGCCACAACAUGACCCAAGCAUGUAUGCUGCAGCUGCUGCAUAUGGAGCUUACCCUGUUUACGGUACCCACCAACAACAAGUAAGCUGAGAAGACAGAGCUGCCCCUAUGUGUUAGCAGCUACCAAGAAUUAGUGAGUGAACUGAGCGAGUGCAAGGAGUAGUAGUUUUAGUAAUGAGACAUGAUGACUCUAGGGUCUCUAGUUCUGUAAUUGGCUUGGCGCUCUGGAAUUCUUAUAAAAUCCCUCCAAUUGCGGAGCGGAACUGAAUUUUGACAACUUAAGGUAGUUCUGUAAGGGAUUUGGUUGAUCAUUUGGUUAGAAUCACGUGAUUUUAACACAACCUUAAUUCUUGGGGUCAAUGCUUGUGCUUCUCAUCUGUUGCAUCUUCUGGUUUAUGUGUUUCAUGGGUCCUAGCAGAAGUAUAUGCCUUUCGAAUUGUCAAGGAGUGUACUUGCGAACAUAUGAUGGGGCAAGCUAGCUAGCGGUCUUCCGUUGGCAAUUUCCUGCAUUUGCUGAAAGGCCAAAGCAAAGAUUGCAGUUGUUUUAUAAGCGAACCCUGCUAAAACCCUUUAUUGCAUCUAGUUGGGCUUAAACCCUACUCUUCGCACAAUACUUGCGGUAAAACUAAAUCGCUAGCUCCAUGAUUUGAAGUUCCCAUCAACGCAACAAUAGAAUAAUGUGAGUAGCAUGUGUUAAUGAUACUAUAGAAUGAUGAUCAUCAUCAUCACCGUGCAGCUAGUAUUAUUAAUCUGCACUGCUCACUUUAUCGCAAUCAUCAGGAGAGGCUCGAACCCAUUCUGAGUAGCAAAGAGUGAUAGGGAAGCGGAAGGCUCACAAAGCAGAACACCUGCCAUAUAAUACAGAGUAAAAUGUAAGCUGGCAAAGUGUUGGAACAGUGGGGCGCACAGCACCCCGUAGUUGGGUUGGCCAAUUGGGGCACAUGAGGAACAAUAUUUACCAAAAGUCGAGGCAGAGUGAUACCAUUGGCGGUGGCGAUCUUGUACCUUUAUAAAUUGGUAUUGGACUACAACCCCCGAAUCUGAAUACUUAAGAAUUUGAUUACCAAGGGUGAAUAUGAAUUUAGAGAUUAACCAUCUCGAUACUGAUUCAUUUUUUCUCUCGUUUCAUGAUUGUUUUCAAGCAAGUAAAACUGUAAAACGUAUGGCAUGCCCGUGUCCAACCAAAGAAGGCUCGUGUCGCCUUCAGAUGGGCACACAUGGCGCUGUCUGGCCGUUAAUGAAUAAUUAGCUAAAUAAAAUAAAUAGGCGUAGUACUGAAUAUAGUAAGGUGGGCUCUGCAACCGUCUCUGCGCCCAACACGUUUCCAAUGGUUCACAUAUCUCUUUCCUCUUCUUCUUCUUGUCCGCUACUUCACCGCCGAAUCUUUCUUCCUUCAAUCCAUGCUUCUUCUUCUUCGGUUUCGUCGCCGCGGCCGAAAGUCGUCGUCACCAGAGAGCGUGGCAAGAAUGCCAAGCUCAUCGCCUCUCUGGUAAAUAUUCAUAUCACUCUGCUGUUUUUUAUGACAAAUUUCUGUAUUUCUCUUUCAAUUAUUGCAAUUUUGCUUUCGUUUUUGGAUUUCUAGGGUUGUACAUUUUGUUUUGUUUCUUCCAUUUCCGAAUUUCAUUUGUUAUCUACGCAAGGAGUGAUGUGGCAUUUUUACAGUUCCGAAUUUCAGUGUGUGAUUCAUUGUCCAGGAUAACUGUAUCUUUUUCACACUGUAGAUAUAUAAUCUGUACCGACAGUAGUACUUGACUAUUCUUAUCCAAUUAUGACACGCUUUUCAGUAAUCAGAACUAUAUAUAUGUCUGUGUAUCUAUGUCUUUGCAUAUUUAUGUGUAAUCUGUAUGCAUUUUUUUUUUUUUUGGAAAUGAAUUAAUCUGUAUGCAUAUGUGCAUAUUUGUGCAAUUAUAGCAAGUUCUGGUGUUAUGAUAGAGUUUUAAAUUUGUUGAGUACAGGCGAAGCAGGGAAUCAGCUGUUUGGAACUUCCUCUCAUCCAGCAUACAAGGGGGCCGGAUCGAGAUAGGCUUUCUACUGUAUUGACUGGUAAUUUCUUCCAAUUUUGCAUCUUUUUGUUGUUGCUUGUGAUGCGGAGCAAUGCCGCAGAGGGUGUCAUCAUAUCGGACAUCGUUAAGGCAGUGGAAUUUGUGUUGAUCUUAAGAUCUUUGAGAUGAAUCUCUUUUCUUUCCUAAGAUAAAUGUAAAAAUAGCUGUCAAGCACAAGCCUUUCGGUGUGAUAUGUGUUCAUGUAACGUGUUCAAACAAAUGGGGAUACUGUUCCCCGACUAACCUUUUUAUUUUAAUGCUCCCUCUUGGCAGCAGAUACAGUAUUUGACUGGAUUGUCAUAACAUCCCCUGAAGCUGGUUCAGUCUUUCUGGAGUCAUGGAAGUAAGGGAUACAACUUUCUAACUUGAAAUCUGUCGCAUUUUGCAUGUCAAGACUCCUGCAUUUUGCAUAUCAAGACUCCUGCAUCUUUAGUUUAAACUUGUAGUUUCAAGGUUUCUUUAAGGUGCACUAAUGUGUCUAUAUCACUUCCUUGCUCAACAGAGUAUGAAUCUUCUCUUUGCUUCAAGUUCACCUCUACACCCCAAAAAUCAUUAUAAUCUUGGAUUAGCAUGCAUUUUCCAUUGCAAUAUGAUCUUUAUUAGUUUGUGAGGUGAAAGAAAUUCUCCUGUGAUCUCAAUUUCCAUAUAUUCUCUGGUUCAAAACUUUUCUCGACUUGUCAGCAUUAAGGGAUACAUCCCCUUUAUAUGAACUUUGGGAGUUUGGUUUGAAGGACUAAUCUGUUGUUUGGUUAAAUUCUUUAAAGUUUUAUGGUUUCCAGAAGAAUUACAGAGAAACGGUCUUUGAUAUUGCAUUCUUCCCUGAUCUUUUUGGAUGAUUUCUAUUCUCCAGAAUGACAUCAAGCUUCUUCUUGGUCUUUAGGGAUGCUGGAACUCCAAAUGUUAAGGUGGGCGUCGUGGGGGCAGGUACAGCAAGCGUGUUUGAGGAAGUACUACAGUCAUCAAAGACGUCCCUCAGUCUUGCCUUUGUGCCAUCAAAAGGUAGUCAUGUCAUGCUUCUACAUUACUCUAGGCAAUCAUCUAAGUCUGUACAAAUUGUAGUACUGCCUCUCAUGCUUCCUUCAGUCAGUCAGAAGACCAAAAAGAAACAUCAUGACAUUAAGAAUGCUAUUAUAUUGAAAUUGCUCCAAAUGAAAGUACAUUGAGUAUGCUGUGAAGGUUUUAUUGUGCUGAAGUUAGAUGAUAGUGUAACCUGAUGGACAUUGGAUGUUUAUAUUGCUUAGAUUGAUUUCUAUAAGUCCAGGUUGGCCCGCAGCCACUUCAUUUGGUGGGGGCUUAGCUCUGCAUCAUGACAUUCUUGCAUUUCUUUUACUUGGAAGUGAUAUGAUAGAAUCUAUGCACUUGAACCAAGUGGUUUAUUGUUAUUUUCUUUUGUUCAAGAUGACCCUAUAUUGUGGGAUCUCUUUUGUAUCUUUUCUUCUUUAUCCAGUAUUUGAUUCUAAUCAUUUCCCGCAUUUUCUUUUGUAAUCUGUACUUUUCAGCAACAGGCAAGGUUUUGGCUUCAGAGCUCCCUAGAAGUAGGAAAGACAAAUGCACAGUACUAUAUCCUGCUUCUGCAAAAGCUGGCAAUGAGAUUGGUAAGUGAAGGCUUCAUUAGUAUGACUACAGACACAGGCCAUAAAUUUUUGGAGUACAAAAGUAGUGAAAGUUAGAUGCAUUGUUGUCAUGGCCAUUAUACAAUUAAGAUCAAGAUACAGGAUCUAUGCACAGUCCGACAUUAAAAUAAAGUAUUUAUGAAAACCACAGUUAGGAAUAAAAUCUCUUUAAGUGUGUAUCCUCUUUCAGAGACAGGAGAUUGCUCUGCAAUUAAAUUGGUAACGUGGAUCUUAAUCUAUCUUAAUUGUGAGUUUAAAAGUUUCAGCAGAUAAAGAGAUAAAUAUGCUAGAUGUCAACCAUAAUGCUAACUGACGAAUAAUCAAACUUCAAAUGUUCCUGAUAAAUUUCUUCAGAAUGUAAUUUUACACUAAAUGGAAUUCAUUGAUCUUCAGAAUGCAAUUACUGUCUAAAAGGAACUCAUCUCUAAGUGGCACUCAUUUAUCUCAGACUGUGAUCUUACUGUCUUUGCAUAUCAUUCUUCAGUACUUAUAUUGUGGUUUACCAUCUUCAUUUGGCAUAUUUGUUUCAGAGGAAGGCCUGUCCAAUCGUGGAUUUGAGGUCACGAGGCUCAAUACAUAUACCACGGUAUGACCUGAUGGUCUUAUCUAUGUGUUCUACAUGAACACUCUUUUGAUAGUUAAUGAUGUAAUUCAUGAACAACAUGAUUUCUCUAGGGACCUGUUGACCAUGUCGAUCAAAUGGUUCUGAAGCAGGCUCUUUCUGCCCCUGUUGUUGCAGUUGCUUCUCCUUCUGCAGUUCGGUAAGUAAUUGGUUCUUUUACCUUUUCAUAUUACUUGUGUAUUAUUUUCUCUGAGGCUCUUUCUUCAGUGUGAUUUUCACUGGAAACUAUUGUCUUGAGUGCAUUCUUAGUUUGAACUCUGCCAUUCACCGACUUGUUGAUCAGUUCUAUACAUUUCUGUUUACCACCUUUUGACCCCCUGCUGAUGCAUUGAAAAUUCUUGAAUACAUGUUUUUUGUUUUCAUCAUUUCACAAUUUGAGCCAUCUAUGUGAAGCAAAGACAUCAAGAAAGACAGUAAUACCUAAUUUUAGCUUGUAUUAUCUUGAGUGGAACAGUGCUUGGGUCAAUCUUAUUUCCGAGUCUGAGCAAUGGAAUAAUUCAGUUGCCUGUAUUGGUGAGACAACUGCCAAGGCUGCUAGGAGACUAGGCUUGAGAAAUGUUUACUAUCCAGUGCAACCAGGUCUUGAAGGGUAAUGUUCACAUUGUAACCUAUUCUCCUGAAAUAUAUUUGGCGGCGUGCAGUUUUCAUGAUCUCAUUUGGUCUGAGUGACAAACUAUAAUUCUGAAUUGCUCAAAUCUCAGUUUCUUUACUUUAUAUAUUUGUAGACUACUGGUUUUUAUUAUAGACCAAUAUCAGCUGUACUUUCAGUAUCAUUUGAUCUAUAUGACUGAUGGUGAAUUCAAGCAUGCUGUUAUAAUUCUCAUGGUCUUGAUUCUCUCAUAUCAGAUGUUGUCCCUGAUGAUUGUUUUGGACUCGUAAUAUGCUACUCUGAGAUGCUACCUUGAGGCUUCCUUUUCAUUGUGUAACUUUGGUUUAUGGUUGAUAGAUGGGUGGAUAGCAUUGUUGAAGCACUGGGAGCAAGUGUCCAUUUGUAGAGGUGAUGUGUUCUUUUCAGGUAACCUUUUUUUCUUUUAGAUUUUGUUAAGUUAGCAUUGUAUUUUUUCUUUGCUUAUGUUACAUGAGCGGUCUGUCCAGUUUUCUUUCCGGCCCAGGCAGACUGAUGAAGAGGUAACUGGUGCACAGUUGAGAAGCACAAACAGACGCCUGAACUGUAUAAUUUUACAGCUUCCACACAAACUAGAUGCAAAACAAGGACAAGUAUUUUUCAAGCUGCAGGACAUAAUGAUGUGGGUGACACCCUGAAUCUGGGAUCAUAUUCAUUCAGCAGAGCUUUCAUUGGCGUUUUUGAAGUCACUGUCUUGGGAUCACAUUUGGAAAGAAGGCCUACCUUACAAGUCUUGUAUGUAUAUUUAUUCCUGUGCCAUGUUGACCUUCACAUCAAUUUUGCUUUCUUCUUGGUGUACUCGUAGAAUUCUUUGUUCCCUUCUUUGUUAGAUCAAGGGAAGAAUUCCCACGUUCUAGCUUGUACAUUUAAUGAUCAAAAUGGAAAGCUCACUUUAUCAGAAUCAUCUUGAUCAGAGUCUUUUUUAUAACGAAGACAUUUUUAUCAAUUAAAGCUGAGCCUUCUAAAACAUUUGGCUGUGACUGUUAUUCUUCUUCAGCUUCAGUAUUCAAAAAUCAAAUAGGUUUUACUAAAAAACAAAAAAAAAAAAUCAAAUAGGUUUGACAGAUAAAGCCAGUACUGUCUAACAUGAGGGUAACUAGUUGAAUAUUCAGUAUGACUAUCGGGGUUUGGCUGGGAAGGCAGGAGGAGGCUUCCCUUGAAGAAAAGAUGAGAUCAAGGUGAGUGCUCGCCGAGGUUGGUAGCUGGGAACCAAAUGGCCAGCUCCCCUUACUGUAGCGAAUGUUAACCCCCUGUAGCCGAUCACAUACCCUCCAACCUCUCCAUCAGAGUUCCAUGGCCGCCAUGGCUUCUUAAUCGGUAGCUUGAGCCUCUUUAUGGAGUAUCGAGUGGAUGUGCCUGGCACGUUCGCAUCAGUGUCUCCACUGCAGGUAGCAUUCAACAUAUAUCAUGUAUAUAUUUUAGACAAUAUGUCCAGGGCUAACUUAAAUUUCAGUAACAUAUAUCAUGUAUAUAUUUUAGACAAUAUGUCCAGGGCUAGUCACUGGUACUGACCUGUACAUCCAUAAUCUUAUCCCACUUGCUAUAAGCCGCUUUAUUCCGGGUAGGAUGGUUAUUGGGGCGUCUAUCCAUCCUACAUCACUGGAAACAAAAACAAUGUAGACAUUUAGUACUUGGUGAAUUAAAUUUAUCUGUGUGUGUAUGUGUUAAUAGUGAAGCUUGUAUAUAUGUUCCUGGGUGCGUACCUGCAAAAUGUCCAGUUUGUUGGUUUAGCAUGAAGAGCUGCUCUCACCUCGGCGAGGUUUAAAUAGGCCUCCACAUAUUUAUCAGAGCAUGGAUCAAAACUAUUAACCUGAUCAGAAUGUAACAUGCAUCAGAUCAAGUUGCCAUUUUCGGUUUCAUAUACAAGCUCAGCUGGUAUGUAACUGAUAAAGCUAGCUUUGGUUAAUCAGAGGCUUACAGGAGUUUCUGAGACUUUGGUUCCAGAUGACAUGUCGCACUUUGGCGCGUAGAUGUUGUAAGGAUCAAUGUCUCCAAUCUCGUCUUCUGAUUUGUUCAUGUAGAUAAUACACGUCUCCGAUUUGUUACCUGAGGCGAAGUCACAAUUUUUGUGUAUUCCGGCAUGAGUUUCGUCCGAGUUCAGAUCAUGUGUCCACAAAUAAUCAUAUUCACCUAGUGUGCCGUCGUUCUCGUCGAUCCAAGGAUUCCCAAUCUGGAGAUUCAUAACAAGCUCAAACCUAUUUAGUCUUAAUUUUAUACCUAAUUAUGUCUUAAGUUACUGUGUUAUGUGACUAAUGUGAGAAGAAGUCCAGAGCUCACCGCAAUGCCUUUGAGAUUGAUUUUUGUUUUCUUUGUGGAGUUGUUCUUUGAGAGAAUGGUCCGAGCAAGUUGUGGUGCAUAAUGACCAGCAUAGCUCUCCCCAGUUAUGAAGAAAUCCCUAUCUCUGUAUUCAGGAAAUCUCUCUAGCCAGUUAACAAGAAAUUUGUAAGAGUCUUCUGCAGUUCUCUUGUCACCGACGUUUUCGUAGUCCGAUUUGUUGUUUGAAUAAGAAAACCCAACUCCUGCCGGAGACUCCAAGAACAGUACAUUUGCCACUGUGUAUAUAUCAUUAAUUUUUGCUGCUUAAUUAAUAUUCUGGAUCAAGUAUAAUCUUAUCAUAAACUCAGACUAAAGAAUUUAGAGUUGUAAAAUACCAUUGUUCCAAGCAUGAUCGUUCCGGAAUAAUGUCUUUCCAUCACUGUUGACUCUGAAAGGUCCCAAUUCUUCCAUGGCUCCGUAUCCAAAAGAUGAGCAUCCUGGUCCUGUACCACAACAACAGUAUAUAUAUAUAUAGAUAUAUAUAUAUAUAUAUAUACACGUUAAUACGUAGAUUGAUCUUUUUUACACUCGAAGCAAAUCCAAAUGAAAUGAAUAUAUCUUGCUCUCAAAAAAUUUCAUCAUGAUCGUUUAGGGGUACAUUAACAUUUACGAAUUAGCGCGAAGUAAUUAGUUUUUACCUCCAUUUAACCAUAACACCAGAGGUUUUGUUGAAGAAUUUUGAGGUGACUCUACAAAGUAGUAGAACAGUGCUCUCCCAGCUACAUGAUCCACUCUAACAUAGCCUGCAUAUUGAUUAAAUUCUUCUCCUGGAUUAAGUUUAGGUUGUCCUGGCAAAGUAUCAAUCUUAUCAGCUUCUUUCAACCCAUCCUGGGGUGCAACACAAACUGGAGAAGAAAAUUCGUGAUCCUCGACAUCCGAAACAGCGAAAGAUAGCGAAUGAGGAGAACGAUUGGUUUUAAAUCUUCUAGUUUUGAUCAAUCUGUUGAGGUUGUCAAUUUGGUUGGCGUUGCAUGGUAAAAGAAAGGUCAAUUGGUAGCUACAGAAGAAGAGCAAACAUGUAAACCCUGAAAACUUCAUGAUACUGUUGCCAUUGUACUGAAAUUGCUUUCGGUAUAUAUUGAGCUAAUUACGUGAGUGGUGAAACCUUGAUUGAGACGAGAAUGCAUGCUUCAUGCAUUUAGAUGAUCAUUUGGGUACAUAAUCUUGCCAAAGAUUAAGGGAUUCUUGACAAGGUACGUUUUUAUGGAAUAUAGCUAGUCAAUAUACAGCUUUAUCAAUAAUGAAAUUACCAUAUUGAACAAUCGAGUGAUUUGAAAUAUACAAUUCGAUAUCGUUAACAAGAUACAGUGAAUCAUUCAAUAAAUAUAGUGAGAUUUUAUAUGAGGAAGGGAAAUUAUUUAGGAAAAUGAUUUGUGGCCUCAAGGUGUCAUGUCAAUUCACAAAAACACAUCAUCAAUUUGUCAAAUCUUAUCAUGUAUUAAUUGAAGAAACAGACUAUCUUAUCCUUCCUUAAUCUUAGCGCUAAUUUAUAUUAACGUUAAUUAUAAAAGGGAUGUGAAAUCCAUACAUCAUAAAUUGAAAUUCACACAUCAUUUUUUAUUUUUUGGUAACUUAAAUUAUUUUUUAGUGAUUUAAAUUUUGUCUUUUUGUGAAUAUAUUAACCAAAAAAAGAAAAAAAUUUGUGGAUUUUAAUUUGAGGUGCGUGGAUUUCACCUCCUUUAUAAAAAAUACUUUGACGUUUUCUUCUUUAAUUACUUUUACUUUUAUGUCAUUGCCCAUACUAUUGAUAUGAUUAUGACAUGAAUGGUAAAAUUACAGUACUAAUUAUCAAAUUUUAAUAUGACAUGCUAUGAUAAGAUUUAUUGUUACUGAAUGUUAAGAUGCAUGAAUGGUAAAAUUACAGUACUAUUGAUAAGAUUUAUUGUUACUGAAUGUUAAUCAACGUACACUUGCAUGAUACGGUAGUUCAUGUCUAAAUGACAUGUAACUCUGAAUCAAAGAUUGUUUCUAUUCACCAAUGGAAGUGAUUCAUAUCGAAUAGGAUAUCUAAAAUAUGAAAGUGUUAUUAGAUUAGUUAAUAAUUAUGAAGAAGGAGGAAGCUUUCCGUGAAGGAAAGAUGAUAUCAUGGUGAGUGCUCGCUUUGGUUGAUAACUAGGAACCUCAUGACCAGCUCCUCUUACAGUAGCAAAUGCCAACCCCCCUUUGUAGCCAGUAACAUAUCCUCCAACCUGCACCCAAUUGUAACACCAACUUACAUCAUCACCAUAUCUUUGAUUAGGAAAACCCAGAAAGCCCUAGUUUUUGUUUCGAUGAGGAUGUCAUGCACAUAUUAACAUAUAUAUACGCUUACCUCUUUAUCUGAAUACCAUGGCCUCCAUGGAGCCUGAAUGGGUAAGCUUAGGUUGUGUAAUGAGUAUCUAGAUGAUGUCACUGGUACUCUUCCAUCAGUGUCUCCACUGCAAUAAGGUGAAGUUUCAAGUAUAAAGCACUCUAAGCCAUAUAUGAGUGCGUUAUGCAUAAAAUCUCAAUCAAUUCAAGGAUCUUCUCAUGGUUCUCACCUGUAUAUCCAUACUGUUAUUCCACUCUCUAAGAGAUGCUUUAUUGUGGGUAGGAUUGUUGGUGGGCUGUCUGUCCAUCCAACACCACUACCAGAAAAAAGAGAGGUAGAAUGAAUAAUAUAAGAUAGAAAAGUGUUCGAGGUUGAUUGUUUAGAUAUUGAUCUAAAUGUCUAAUUAUGUAUUACCUGCAAGCUGACCAAUUUGUAGGUUUUACAUGAAGAGCAGCUUGGACCUCCUUAAGAUUUAGGUAGGCAUAGACAUAAUAGUCUGAGCAUGGAUCAAAUCCAUUAACCUGCGUUUCAUGAUGACUUUCAGUCACUGAAUUUUACACAAAUGUUACUAGUUUGGUUAUCAGAAUCAUCCAUGCUUAUUUAGAGACUUACUACUGCAGAACCAACUGAAAUGUAUAUGGUAUCUGAUGAUGAGGAUGACAGAUUGCAAAGUGGAGCGUAGAUGUUGUAUAUAUCAACGUCUCCAAGCUCAUCGCUUGCUUGAUUUAGAUAUUUUGUACACUUGCUCGAGAAAUUUCCAGAUACAAAGUCACAAUAUUUGUUUAUGCCUUCGUAGGUUUCAUCAGAAUUCAAAGCAUGUGUCCACAAAUAUUCAAAAAUACCCAUUUCACCAUGAUUAUCAUCAAUCCAAGCAUUUCCAAUCUGCACAUUAUUUCCAAAUAAUAAGAGACAUAUAUACGUGCAUAUAUAUAUAUAUAUAGGGUAUGAAGUAGCUAGCUACUAGUACUAAUACAUAUAUCAUUGAUUUCUAAGCUCACCGCAAUGCCUUUGAGAUUGAUUUUCGUUUGGUUUGUGACUUUGUUCUUUGUUACUAUGGUGUAAGCAAGUUGAGGUACAUAGUGACCGGCAUAGCUUUCUCCGGCAAUGAAGAAGUCCCUGGUUUUGUACUGGGGAAAUCGAUCUAGCCAAUUCACAAGAAAAGUGUAUGAAUCUAGGGCUGUUCUCUUGUCACCCACACUUUCGUAGUCCGACUUUGUGUUUGAGUAUGAGAACCCCACUCCUGCUGGAGACUCCAAAAACAGAAUAUUUGCCACUGCAUCCACAAAAUGCAAACAACAAAUUUCAUUGGAUCAUUAUUAGUCUAAAGUAUUCAUGCUAAUCAACUGUUAUCUACCAUUGUUCCAAGCGUAGUCAUUAGGAAACAGUGUCUUUCCAUCACUGUUGACUCUAAAAGGUCCUAAUUCUUCCAGGGCUCCAUAUCCAAAAGAUGAGCAUCCUGGUCCUGUACAAAUGAUUACAUUAGAAUUAAGUACUCGACUGAGACAAAUUAAUAUAAGUAAUUACAGUAGUUAAUUUGAACUUGUACAAUUAUUUUAAAUAGGAUCAAAAUCAAGCUGCUAAAACGAUUUCCACGGGAGCCAAAUUAUAGGAUGCUGCAGAUGAUGAAAUAGUAUUUCCCACUGAAUAGAAAGUGGGAUGGGUAAUGAUCAUACACAUUAACUAUAAUGGCUGAAAAUGAAUGAACGCUUAUUUUCAACCCUCUAUUAUACCUUCUAGCCAGAUAACGUCUUUAGUGGUGGUGGACCUUUAACUCUUUUGACUCAAUUAAACUUUACAUAGAAUUCCAUAAUUAACUACUAUGUAUAAUAUGCAUGUUUAUGUGUAGAUACACGCCACGUGUAUUGAAGAAAUUUUGGUUUACAAAACGCAAAACAGGAUCGCAUGUAUUCAUCAUAAACAUUGUUUUCAGGUGUCCUUAUUGAUCGAUCGUUCACCACAGCUAAACAACAACUCAACAAAGGGUACACUACAGAAUACACAUCUAGCUGUUUUCCAAUGUUCUAUUUUUCCCUUAAUAUCUCUCUAACUCUAAGUACAUGGUGUAGAACAAAGACCAUGACUACUGCAACAAAUUACUGAAAUUUAUGUUGAUAUAAUUUAUUUUAUUUGUUCUCCUUAUAAACUGACUAAUGGAUUUGGUUUGAGUAGGAAAAACAUGUUUUCAAAAUAUUCCUUGGUUUACAUUUGUUAAUAUCAUUGGUAUGUAUAAUAGUACGUAUUAUUUACUAUAUGUAUAUAUGUAAUUAUAGAUUUCAUCAUGCAUGAUUUGAGGCACAUUUCCUUCUCAGAGAUAUAUUCAUAUACACACUUACAUGUUCAUGGUGUAUAUAUAAAUACUACAUGCAUGUUCGUUUAUGUAAGUACUGCAUGCUUGAUUGGAUAUAUAGGUAUAUGCAUGCAGUGAUGUAGAAGAUUAUUCACCACCGAUCUAAGCAUUGUCGAAUCUAUAGAAUGCUAUUACAGACUUACCGUACAUUGAUAUUGAUAUUGAUAUUUGUACGUAUAUAGAAAGAUUUACCUCCAUUUAACCAAAGCAGCAGAGGUUUUGUUGAAGAGUUGUGGGGUGACUCUACAAAGUAGUAGAACAACUCUCUCCCAGCUUUCGGCUCCACUGAAACAUAGCCUGCAUAUUGUUUAAAACCCAUUCCUUCUCCAGGUUGGCCUGGCAAAGCAUCAAUCUCAUCAGCUCCCAUCAGACCAGCUUGGGAUCCAACGUAAACAGGAAGAAAGCGGUCAUCUGCUAAGAAAUCGUUUUCCCAAGACAGUUCAGCCUGAGGAGAAUUGGCAGAUUUGCGAGACUUGAUCAGCUUGUUGAGGUUGUCGAUUUGGUUGGCGUCGCAUGUUCUUAGAAAGGAUAAUUGGCAGAUAGAGAUGAGUAGAAAACACGUAUACACUGAAAGCUUCAUCUCUUGUGGUAUAUAUUCUGAGAGGGUGUGAAACGCUAGCUUUAUAUUUGCUAGUAUUUAUAGACCUGGAGGAUAGUAUUUGUACAGUGAAAACUAAUUAAAAGGCUUUUAGCUUGACUUUAAGUUUAAUUAUGUAUCAUUUGCACUUGACAUAUCACUUUUGGACAAAACACAGCACAUGCAUUGAGGGUUUGCACCCCAGAAAGCUAAAAAGUAAGAACCUCGCUAUCUGGCUAUGGGCUGGCCGUGCAUGCUUGCCAUUCUACAUAGAUGUAAUUGUCUAUCAAUUCCUAUUUCCUAAAGAAUGGCAGAAAGAUUAUUUUCUGGAUGACAAUAUAUUGUGAGAAUGUGGUGUGUCUGUGUUUGUUUAUAUUAGAAGGAGAAGAGCAUCUUCAGUACACUACGUGUAUUUUCACAUACAUACAUGGAUUGUCAAAAUUAGAUGAAAUAAUAUAGAAACAUGGUGGUCAAAUAUAUGAAUUGUUAUGAAUAGUUAAGAUUGCGUUCGUCGUGUAAAUACACAUCGUGCAUACAAAAAUUUCAUUAAAAAGAGUAGUGAAUUUUCAUAAACUUGUUUAUAGAAGUUCAUUUCUGAGGUCAUGAUGCAUAUCGUGAAUAAAUUUCAGUACGUACUAGCUUGCAUGGCAUAGAAUGAAAUACAUUCCAAGCACCGCUACAUAUAUUUGGUUGGUUUAAAACGUAACCCUAAACUAAUUGAUCCUACGCUAAUUGUAUUAUUCUAUAUAUAUAUAUAUAUAUAGGAAUUGUAUAUCAGUUCCUAUCCUGAGCGAAGCUUCACUUUGAAAUUAAAGUGUGAAGUUCCUUAUUUAACUCACUUUUCGGUCAUAUUUCCACAUCUCCACCGUUCAGUUUGUAUAACCUAAUGCAUAUAUCACUUCUGCCAAGUUUCAUUGAAUUUGAUGAUCGUUUGGGUUUUCAUAAUCGUUAUUUACACAAACAAAACUGAAUAGACAGAUUUAUGGUCCGUUUGUUGAUUUGAUCUAAUUCGGUACCUUAACGAUUACCAAUUUGGAUGAAACUUGGCAAGAGUGGUGUAUGCAUUAGGUUCUACAAACUAAAUGGUGGAGAUGUGAAAAUAUGACCGAAAAGUGAGUCAAAUAAGGAACUUCACACUUUAAUUUCAAAGUGUAGUUUCGCUCUGGAUAGAAAUUGUAUAUAUAAAUGGCAUUUUUGGAAAAGAUGAUCAUAUAAAAAGUUUAAACCAACCAAUAAAAGAAUAAUAGCCACAAAAUAUAAUCACUUGGAGCAAUUAUUCAGCCAAGUUGAUAGGCAUUUUACAAAUUAAGGUGACGUUUUCCUAAUUUUAUUCAAUGACCAUCUUCUGAAAUGCAUGUUCCAUAUGACCUAGCUCCUAUGAAGGAGGAGCCGGAGGAAGUGUCCCCUGAAGGAAGGAUGAGAUGAAGACGAGUGAUCGCUGCGGUUGGUAGCUUGGAACCUUAUGGCCUGCUCCUCUUACUGUUGCAAAUGUCAACCCCUUGUACCCAACCACAUAUCCUCCAACCUGCAAACAUAUCAUUUUAACCAACAUCAUCAGAAUUCAUAUGUACUGAUAUAUAUUGGGGCAUCAAAUUUGAAAUAACCAUAUUAAGUUACGUACCUCAUCAGGGGUGGAGUUCCAUGGCCUCCAUGGAGUCUCAACUGGUAAGUUUAGUGUGUUUAUGGAGUAUCUAGAAGCCGUGACCGGUACUCGAGCAUCGGUGUCUCCGCUGCAGGUUUAGGUUUCCAUUUGGCAUUUAGCUUAUAUUCAAUUAACCUUGGUGGUCGAUCAAAGUAAUAGUACUGAUUUGUUGAUUUGCAUUCAGAGCAUACCUGUAUAUCCAUACCCUUAUCCCAGUUUCUAUGAGCGACUGUAUUGUGGGUAGAAUGGUUUCUGGGCUGUCCGUCCACCCAACACCUCUAAAGACCAAAAUGAUCAAUACAAUUACAAAUUUUGUAAUAUUAAGAGAAUAUACACAUGUAGCACACACAGUCUAAUUUACUUGGCAAAAAAUGUCAUAAUGCACAAGCCAAGAUUUAAACUUUACACUAUACCAAUGUUGUGUGAUGCAUAAAUCCAGAAAUAAAUGGUCAUUUAUAUGUGUCAUUUUUGUCUAGUGUAUAUAUUUGUAUACCCGCAAGCUGUCCAUUGGGUAGGUUUGACGUGAAGAGCUGCUUGCACCUCGGCAAGAUUCAGAUACGCUUCCACAUAUUCGUCAGAGCAUGGAUCAAAUUCAAAGACCUGCAUCGAUAUAAAACCAACAUCAUAUAUGACAAUCUUUGUGCUUGAGGAACAUGUUAAAACAAGCUCAGUUCUUGACGUUUCACCAAAGGUAAAAAACCAACUCCAUUCUAGACUUACAGAACCAACUGAACUGGGUGUUGUUUUUGAACCAUCUUCUAGGCAAAGUGGAGCAUAGAUGUUGUAUAUGUCGAUUUGUCCUUUCUCCUUGUACAGUUGAUGCACAUAGUUAUCACAUAAGUCGGAUGAGUUUUCUGAAGUAAAGUCACAAUACUUGUGUAUUCCUGCAUUGGUUUCGUCAGAGCUCAAAGCAUGUGUCCACAAAUAAUCAACGAUACCCCAUGCACUUGUAUUAUCGUCGAUCCAAGCAUUUCCAAUCUAAAAUUAUACAUCCAUUACUAAUUAAUUACCAUACUAAUAGAUCUAAGAUAUAUCUGCAUUAGUAAACAUUGAACUAAUUAAUAACUUGAUGAUGAACUCACUGCAAUUCCUUUGAGGUUGAUUUUAGUUUGAUUCGUGAUUUUGUUCUGUUGGACGAUGGUGUAAGCGAGUUGAGGUACAUAAUGGCCAGCGUAGCUCUCUCCGGUUAUGAAGAAAUCACGGUUUUUGUAUUCGGGAAAUCUCUCUAGCCAGUUUACAAGAAAAGCGUAAGAGUCCUCGGCCGUUCUCUUGUCACCCACAUUUCCAUAGUCCGAUGAUGUGUUUGAAUACGAGAAACCAACUCCUGCUGGAGACUCCAAGAAGAGGACGUUUGCCACUGCGUCCAUUAAGUAGUUUUGCUGCUUGUUACUGUCAACUCUCAAGUAUAUAGGUAUAUAUAAAAUUUGGGAUAAUAAUUUUGCCUAAUUAAGUACCGUUGUUCCAUGCAUAGUCGUUGGCAAACAACGAAAUUUUAUCAUUGUUGACUCUGAAAGGUCCCAGUUCUUCCAUGGCGCCAUAUCCAAAGGAUGAGCAACCUGGUCCUGUGAAUACGUACGUACGUACACAAACACAAGCACAUACAACAACAUAAACUAGAGUAGUAAAAAGUUACAUUCGUAAAGAAUAUAAUUGUACAGUAAUUAUGUUACCUCCAUUUAACCAUAAGACUAAGGGUUUGGAUGAAGAAUCUUGGGGAGACUCUACAAAGUAGUAAAACAAUGCUCUCCCAGCUUUGGGGUUUACUGUAACAUAGCCCGAAUACUGAUUAAACUCGGCUCCUUCCGUUGGUUGUCCUGGCAAAGCGUCAAUCUUAUCGGCUUCCUUAGCCCCGUCUUGAGAUCCGAUAUACACCGGUGAAUACUGAUCAUCUUCGACAUCAAAGACAAUGUCUGUCGACGAUUGAGAACGGGGAGGAUUGAGUCCAGAUUUACGAGACUGCUGGAGCAACUUGUUCAGGGUAUCGAUUUGUUUGGCGCGGCAUGAUAUGUUCAGAAAGGUAAACUGAAAGCUGAGGAGGAGAAGCAAACAUGAGACCUUCAUCUUCAUCAUGUUCGGUGAUGAUUAAUUAGUUAUGUACGGGUAUAUAUAGUAGUUAUACCCUUCGGACGAGAAUACUGAGGCGUUAGAUUAAUGUACAAGAGGAAACUGCUUAUAUAGCAGACGGACAAUUAGUACAGCAUGUAGCGUUUGUCUUACCUCAUUUUCGUUUCACGAGAUCAAGGUUAGAAACUGUUUGGAUAUGAUAUAUGCAAAACUCCAGCUAGCCUAGCUUGAAUAUUUCACAGAAGUUGUUAGAUCUUUGUUGAUUUUAUCGUCGAAAUAACAAGAGACGUCCGACGGCAAGUAUAUAAUUAAUUUAGGAAUUACAAUUACUGAAUCUCAUCUGUUUGUUUUUUAAUUUGUGUGCUAUUAUAACCUAGGCCAAAACUAGAAUGAUACAUCCAUUACUAAUUAGCAUAUUAAUAGAUCUGGGAUAUAUCUGCAUUAGUACGUACAUUGAAUUAAUCAAUAACGUAAUUAUGAGUUCACUGCAAUGCCUUUGACGUUGAUUUGAUUCGUGAUUUUGUUCUGUUGAACGAUGGUGUAAGUGGACAAUGGCAUUGGAUCAACUUGAUCUCGAUCGGUGAGAAAUUAACUUUGAAUCUCGAUCAGAGAUAUCUAUUCUCUUGAUUAAUUUCAAGAACUCAAUGUCAAUCAUGCAUAUUUUUGUACCUUCAAGAUGAUAUCAAUGCCAAAUCAAAUGAAACUUGAAGAUACACAUAAAAUUAUUAUUAGGCAUUUCACCAUCCUUCUGUUGAAGCUUAUAUUACAAAUUUAUUCAAGCACCAUGGUCAAGUACUCUUCAGAAUUCGAUGCUGAGCAACGAUCUCCGCCACGAGGAAGGACUGAAAAUUAAGAACCAGGAGGCGGAAGCGUACCCUGAAGGAAAGAUGAGAACAAGGUGAGUGCUCUCUCUGGUUGGUAGCUGGGAACCUCAUGGCUAGCUCCUCUUACUGUAGCAAAUGUCAAGCCUUUGUAUCCAACCACAUAUCCUCCAACCUCUUCACCGGAGUACCAUGGCCUCCAUGCAGUCUCGGUUGUUAAGUUGAGGGUGUUUAUGGCGUACGGGGUAGCUGUGACUGAUACUAACAAGUCCCGGUCUCCACUGUACGUAUAUAGAGAAUACUUGCAGUGUUCAGCAUAACUUUAACAUCAGCUGGCUAGUUAAGUUCAGUAUUUCUUUGUGAAUGAAAUAGGACGUCGAUCGGUGGAACGAUAUACAGAAACUUAAAAUCAAAGCAAGAUUCUCACGUACCUGUAGAGCCACAACCUUAUCCCACUUCCUAUGAGCUCUUGUAUUGUAGGUAGGACAGUCACUGGCCACUCCAACCAUUCGAUUUUACGACUAGAGACCAAAAAAGAUUAAGGAUCAUAAUUUGUUGUGAUUGAUGGAUUAAGAUCUAAGAAGAUACAUGACUGGCAAGUUUGUGUGCAUGUAUGUUUACCUGCAAGCUCUCCAUACUGUAGGCUUUACAUGAAGAGCUGCUUGCACCUCCUUAAGAUUUAGAUAAGUCUGGACAUAGUUGUCCGAGCAUGGAUCAAAAUCAUUAACCUACAUCAUAAUUAAUAGAUGUCAUGAUGUAUUGUUCUUCAUUCUUGGAUUGCAUUAUAAUUUAUUCACUAAUUUGCGAAAAUUGAUCAUAUUAGCGUCACACUUACUGAACCAGUUGAGGGCGCGGGUGAUGAUUUGUUGCAAAAAGGAGCGUAGAUGUUAUACUGAUCAAUGUCACCAUACUCAUUAUCUGAUAGAACUACAUGUUUACCGGUAAAGUUACAAUAUUUAUGUAUUCCGGCAUUUGUUUCGUUGGAGUUCAUAGCAUGUGUCCGCAAAUAAUCAUACCAACCCAAGUUCUGAGUAACAUCAUCGAUCCAAGCAUUCCCAAUCUGCAUAGUCAGCAUUAACUUAGAAAUGAAGAGAAGAAACUUUGUCCUAGCUAGCUAGCUAGCUAGCUAACUAGUAGUACUACUGCAAUUGGAGAAGCUAGAGAAUUUGAACUCACAGCAAUGCCUUUGAGGUUAAUUUUGGUCUGGUUUGUGACUAUGUUCUGAGAAAGAAUGGUGGAAGCAAGUUGAGGUACGUAAUGACCAGCAUAGUCCUCUCCGGUGAUGAAAACAUCACUGGAUUAUAUUGAGGAAAUCUCUCCAACCAGAUUACAAGAAAUAUGUAAGAAUCCCAAGCCGUUCUGUUGUCACCCACUUUAUAAUCGGUUGAUGUGUUUGAAUAUGAGAAGCCAACUCCUGCUGGGGACCUCCAAGAAGAGCACAUUCGGCUCUGCAUUAUGCAAAAUUAGAUGCAUAAAUUAAUUUUACCUCAAACAAAUUGAGAACAAAUUUGUUUUACUUGUUGUUCCAAGUUCAAAAACAAAGACUUGUGUUUAGUUACCAUUGUUCCAAGCAAAGUCAUUGUGGAAUAGUGUCUUUCCAUCCCUGUUGACUGGGAAAGGUCCUAGCUCUUUCAUGGCUCCAUAUCCAAAAGACGAGCAUCCUGGUCCUGUAAUGGUACUCAUACAGUAUAUGUGUUACACUCACCAUGCAAAUAGGGUGACAAUAUCAAAUUAAGUAGCCAAUCAUAUAUAAAAGACAUGUAAAGGAGAACGAUCAUAUAUAUAAAGGAGAUAUGAUUGUGAUAGCUAGUAAGUUUCAAAGAUUAUUUACCUCCAUUUAACCACAGCACCAAAGGUUUGGUUGAAGAAUUUUGGGGAGGCUCUACAAAAUAGUAGAACAAUGCUCUCCCAGCACUAGGAUCAACAGUAACAUAUCCCCCGGCCCAUACUGAUUAAAAUUAACACCUUCAGCAGGUUGUCCAGGCAAUGCAUCAAUCUUAUCGGCUUCCAUCGACCCCUGUUGGGAUCCAACGUAUACCGAAGAAAAAGUGUUGCCUGCAACGGCAUCAAAGCCCCAACGAUUUAGCAUGAUCAACUCCAUAUUUGCGUGACUUAAUCAACUUUUUGAGGUUGCCAAUUUGAUCGGCAUGGCAGGAUGCAAUUCGAAAGGCCAAUUGGUAGCUGGUGAGUAACAGCAAGAAGGUGAGCAGUGAAAACUUCAUCUUCAUUUCUUAUUGCUAAUGUACUUCAAUUUGUUGGAUGGAGUAUCAGUUUCGCUUAGAUCUAGUAUUUAUAGACCUAAAGCAAAGUAAUUUGAAGUUUGAAAUGGACCUAACUGUGACGAGAAUAAUAAGGCAUUGCCGAGUUAGCUUGUAAUCAAGGGCCAGUGAAAACAGCAUAUGUACAAUUAGUACAGCAUUCCUAUCACAAGAUUGAGAUUUUUGAUUCUUUGGAUUGGUUAUAUACUUGUAUGCAGACACCAGCUAGCCAGCAGAAGAAUUAAUUAAUUAAGGGGAAUUUUCAUAUACACCUAAUUUUAAAUAGUGGUUUUAAAUAAAACCCACCUAAUAUUCAUAUCUGAUAGAUAUCUAAAAUGUAUCAAUUAUAAUAAAUAUUAUGUCCUACUUUUUCUAAAUUUUACACAAUUGCCACCAUUUAACUAUAACAUAUUAAUAUAAUAAAUAAGCUUAGUUGAUGUUGUCUUAAAUACCUUGAUUAUGAGUUUUUCUUCUAACACUAACAUUUUUCAAUCAAUUUGCAAGAAUCAUGUAGUUUUCUUUAGGAGAAAUUACUGGUCACUUCAUUAACUUUCAUGCGCUCGACAGUUUACUCUAUUAACUUUCAAUUUCAAUCGAUUACUCCAUUAACUAUCCAAUGUCACACAAUUAGGUCCAUCCGUUAAGUGGCCGUCCAAAUCAGUGGUUAAGUUGCUGACUGGACAUAUUUUUCAACUGGAAAUUUCAUUUAACACCCCACCUCUCUCUCUCUCUCUGGCCAGCCAUGGCUUCCCAAACAGUGUGUAAGCUGUUGUUUUUGGCUUCACUUUCCACUCACUCAAAUCCAACAAAAGUUUAUGAACCAAAGCCUAUUGUAAAGAUAGGAUUACAAGCUUUAAGUACAUAGCUUAAGUUUUGAAAACAAAGCCCUGGAUAGGAAGUAUGCUCUCAAAGUUGAAACAAAAAUCUGAAAACCUAAAAAAAUUCAGCUUUUGGCUGAAUCUGCUACUGUUUUUGGCAAGCAAUUUGACAAACCAAAUGUUAACCAAAUCCUCUGAAAUUUAAGACACAUAAAGAUGGAUAUAUGAGCUUUACAAAAGUACUUUCGAAUUUAAAAAAAAAGGCCUGAGCUGAAAGAUAUCAAGACGCAAAGUAGGAAAGAAAAUCAGCUUUUCUGCAGAAUUCUGGAAAUUUGCAGCAACUAAUAAACUUGAUUUUGAAAGCUUUAAUUCGACUUUUGAAGUAACAAAACAAGUUCUAAAGCUUCAAAACGUUAAGGAACAGAUUUCCAGAGUACGAAAUCAUUUUAAAUACAACAGACAGUUGAAUCAAAAGGAUCCAAAAUCUACUUUGGACACCCAAACUCAAGAACAUAGUUCUUGAGCUACAACCACAAUGAUUCUAAUUGAAACCAAACAACGAAUAGAGCCACCAGAGGGCGUUGGUGCGGUUGGCGGCGAGAACAAUGAAAUUUCCAGUUGAAAAAUAUGUCCAGUCAGCAACUUAACCACUGAUUUGGACGGCCACUUAACGGAUGGACCUAAUUGUGUGACAUUGGAUAGUUAAUGGAGUAAUCGAUUGAAAUUGAAAGUUAAUGGAGUAAACUGUCGAGCGCAUGAAAGUUAAUAGAGUGACCAGUAAUUAAUUCUUUUCUUUAUUUUUAUGAAAAAAUCUAGAUUAAAGGAAUUCAUUUUCUAAUCUAUACAUAAGGUAAAAUAUAAUAUGAAUAAGAUAUCUAAUCUAAACCCUAGCCCCUAAACCCUAUACCCUAAACCCUAUAUCCUAUACCCUAAACCCUAAACCUUAUACCCUGAACAUAUACCCUAACUCUAUACCCUAUACCCUAAACCCUAUACCUUAACCCUAUGCCCUAAACCCAAUUUUGGGCUUUUUCUUUUUAGGUAUAUUAUCAUAUCAUGCCCUACUUAAUAGGUACAUUAGAAACGUAAGUAGUAGAGAGUAAAAUGUUCUCUUAAUUAGGAUGGGAAAUGAUAUAAUAAUAUACCUAAAAAGAAGAAAAUUAAUCAAAGAACAAGAACAUGUACUUUACAAUUAGACAUUUUUCGAUUAUGUAGAGAGACACCAAAUAUGAGCUUAGGAAUGAAAAGUAUCAUCUUAUUACAAAUGACAUACUUUUGUAUAUAUAUAUACACUCAAGUUAGUAAUAACAAGAUAAAAAAUUAAAGAAUGUAAUUGAUUAUGUCAAAGUUAAAUCCAACUAAAUUUUAGCUAGUAUUUGAGUUUUAAAUUGAUGUUAAAAUUGAAAAAUAUACCAAAUUUAGCUUUUUAUUGUCUGAAGGGCAAAUUAGAGAAACCGAAAAAUGAAUAAAACUAUUAAUUAUAGACAUUUGCUCUAUAUGAUAUGUUUGCUAUGUGGAGUGGGUGUAAAAUAAAAGAAAAAUAUGUAUGGAUUUAUCUUAAAAGAUGUCUAGUAUUUUGAGUUUUUAUCUAAUUUUCUCAUUAAUUAAUUAAGGGCAACAUGACUGGACUAGAGUGAUUUGUUUUCGCAUAUUCCGUACUAUAUUUUUGUAUAAAUACAUACUACAUAAUUUAACCAUAGUGUGAAGUUCUCGAGAAAAUAUGAAGUACGAUUAGUAAUCAUAGAGAUGAUCGAUGCAGCUGAAUGCCAAUACCAAACAACUUUGGACCCAGAAAGGAGUGGCCGACCCAAACAUUGUUGCCCAGUUAGCUUGCUCUGCAUCGAAAGUCUGAAGUUUAACCAGGGCCGGACCUUGUUUUGGACUUGAGAGAAUGAUGCAAUCAUGCAAUUCAUUCUACACCUUGUUCUUGUUUGGACAAUGAUAAGGACGAAUUGGUGAUAAGAAACCAAUUGAUGUGAACCGACGAGAGUUAAAUAUCAAGAGAGAAAUUUUGGCAUCCAGUAGAAGCAAGGCAAGAAUCAUUUCCCGGUUGGAGUUAACUGAUAAAACUGCUGGUCAAUGACCUAGCCUAUCAAUCUUUCUCAUUGUUUUACAUGCAGCUUUGUCUCAUUACCCGUUUCCAUUACUCUCUCUCUCUCUCUCUCUCUGAACUUUUGGAUCCUAGCUUCCCGAUCUGUAAUCCACCACCAUCACCUGUAGUAUAGAGGAACGUUCAGUAUAGAGCAUGCCAAAGUCCAAACAUGCAGUACGUGAAUGCAAAAACAAGGAGUGCCAAAAUGGUGGGUGAGGAUAGCAAGCUGGCAAAUCUUUUGUCCUGCGAGAGAUUUAGAUCUAUAAACAGUACCGGACAUGUCAUGGUGAUAUGUUAUCCUCAGUAGUGAAUCUCUCUCACUUUAUUUAAGUGUCCUACGAGUUUCCUUUUGGUACACAGAAAUAAAAAGCACAAGCUAGCGCUAGCUGCUGUUAAAUCCGGAAGCUUUGCAACUCAAUAAUGGAGAUUUGUUGGUGUCAUUUCGGAUCCCCUCUCAGCUACAGACACUGGACCCUUACAGGAACGGGUACGACAGCCAAACAGCAAUUGACCUUAGACGAGAAACAAAGCUAGGAUCGAUGGAGAUCGAUGUACGUAGUCGAUCCCAGUCCCAGGCCCCAAAGUAUUACCUAGCUAGCUUUGCUGUGGUGGACCAAAAAGAGAGAGAGAGAGAGAGAGAGAGAGCGAGAGAGAGACUUUUGAGCAUGUACAUAGCAGCUUCUGUUUCUCUCUUUUAUCACAACGACUGCAACAAAGAACAGCUUUAAACAUUUCUAGUUCUUCUUUUGGCCAGAACUGCACGAUAUAUAUUAUUAAUAAGAAUUAAGGACAUGCACCUGAAACCCAUGCAUAGAGUAGACUCAUCGAUUAUCUUCAAAUUAAGACGGUAGGAGAGUUGUAGGACCCUAAGUUACAUAUACACUGAAGCCUAGCCACACCACCUUAAUUUGGACCAACAUUCCAUGACUAACUCUAAAUCCAUGGCUCCAUAUAUGCCAUGUAUAUAUAUUCACUGCAUUUCCUCAACUAUAUAUCAUUUCCUGAAUAUUAAUGGUAUGCUAGCGAUCUUCACUUAAUUAAGUUCCCUUUCCACUAGCUUUUUGAACAAUGAUUUACAGAUAAAAGUACUUAAUUUAGGGUUACAAAGAUCGAUUA